Molecule: long non-coding RNA, 481 nt
Organism: Myotis davidii
Lineage: Eukaryota; Metazoa; Chordata; Mammalia; Chiroptera; Vespertilionidae
Exons: 3
Source: RefSeq, a predicted model, not a curated record
AUAUCUUCUUAUAUAUCAAAAUAUCUCUACUCAAAACUUUCUUAUCUCCAAUUCUUCAACUUAGUUCCCCUGUUUGUGAUGGCCGUCUGAGUACCUGCAUGAAGUUGGUCAGAGGCCCUUCAGAACCAGUUGUGUAAUGGGCACUGGGACAAGAGACAGAUUUUUCUUUCAAGAAAACAAAAAACAAAAAACUGUGAUUCAUUCUGGCUGGAUAAUGCUGAACGAGACCAAGAAGCUCUCUGUGCUUUGGGACUUCACACGUGGCCAGGGAGGAGCUGGAUGGCUGCAUGAAGGGGGCUGACUGACUGUGGGAACAAUAGCCAGGAAAGACCUAUCUUCCUGUCUUGCUGAGCGUCUACCUGUGUACUUCCAUAGCCCUCAUUGUUAUGUGGGGGCCCUGACCAAUCACAUUAUCCCAGGGACAAUGUAAGCGUCAAGGAGAAACUUUCUCACAUGAUUCUCCUAAAGUAUUUCUGGAAGC